UGAGGAAUAUUGGUCAAUGGACGCAAGUCUGAACCAGCCAUGCCGCGUGAAGGAUGAAGGCCUUCUGGGUUGUAAACUUCUUUUACCUGGGAAGAAACCCCAAUUUUCUAAUUGGGUUGACGGUACCAGAGGAAUAAGCACCGGCUAACUCCGUGCCAGCAGCCGCGGUAAUACGGAGGGUGCAAGCGUUAUCCGGAUUUACUGGGUUUAAAGGGUGUGUAGGCGGGCUUUUAAGUCAGUGGUGAAAUCUCCGGGCUCAACCUGGAAACUGCCAUUGAUACUAUUAGUCUUGAAUUUUGUUGAGGUAGGCGGAAUAAGUCAUGUAGCGGUGAAAUGCAUAGAUAUGACUUAGAACACCAAUUGCGAAGGCAGCUUGCUAAACAAAUAUUGACGCUGAGGCACGAAAGCGUGGGGAUCAAACAGGAUUAGAUACCCCCGUAGUCC
This 444-nucleotide ribosomal RNA is filed under the name uncultured bacterium. RNAcentral's name for it is "bacterial SSU rRNA". It matches the Rfam family "Bacterial small subunit ribosomal RNA", at positions 355 to 796 of the family's 1533-position model. The record is from RNAcentral.